GCGGCGGCCUGCCGAGCCUGCCGGGGCCCUCGCCCGGCCGCCCCUACCCGGGGGCUGAGGGACAGCGCCGGGCUGCGCUGGGCUGGCGGACAGCAGCAACAGGAUAGUGUUUUGCUACGGCACAUUAGGUCAACUUCGUCAAGUUUCCUUAAAGGAAGAAAGCAAUGCCUAGAAAUCUCCUCUGGCCUGGCUCAUCACCAGCUGUUGAAGGUAUCUGUCUGCAGCCAGACAAAUGCACUGUCACAGUCACUGCUGAUAAUCUGCAAACCAGCCUAGGAAAGCUGGGUGGCUGCAAGGGCAGAAGUAAUAAGGGAUUCUGUAGCCUCUCUGGCAUCCCCCAGCCUGCUCGAAGUUCCCUGUUUUACAUUUAGCAAAGCCCUGCUGCCAGGCAGGCCCAGUAAAGGCCAUUCACAUCAAUCUCAGCCAUGCAAGCUUCAUUGGCCAAAGUUCCUCUUAUUUGUCCUUAGCAACCUGCAAUGAUGUAACACAUUACAAUCCCCUAAGACACUCUGUUCCAGAGUUCAUUACCCCAGAAAGUUCCCAACUAAAAGACAAACCAUUUAGGAGAGGGCAGGGACCCAGGCUGUAACACACGACCUGCAGGCAUGACACAGGCUUUGCCACAAAGGCAUUAUAGGACCAUAGAAUCAUUUAGAUGGCAAAAGACCUUUAAAAUCAUCAGGUUCAAUGGUUACCACAGCACUGCCAAAUGCUGGUGAGAGUGGCUUUGUCUGGUGAUGCAGUACCAGCACGUUUCUUACCCUCUCCCUACUUAGCCCUGGUGAAAAGCCAUUAUUUCUUUCCCUUUGCAGCUGCCUUUUUGGGGUAUGAAGAUUACUGCCAUGCUCCUGUCUAUCUUCUUUGUCUAAAAUUAACAGUUUUAUAUAUGAGCAGAAUAUCAAAGCAAUGUCCUGCUGCCCUGGGAAAAAUUGUUAUUCUUGCACAGCUGUACAAGCACUGAUUAAGAAAAUGGGUUUUGGUAGGUUUUGAUUCAGAAAGACAUGAAUAGUGACUAAAUAUUCCUAUGUCUUAUUAACUUUUUAAUUUUCAAAAAUAAGUGUUUUAUUUUAGUCUCUUAAAUAUUUCCUGAUUGUGUGUUGCUCCUAUGACCUCUUACAUGAAUGAAUCAAUCUUUGAACUGAAUUGUGUUAAAAAGAAAUGUUCUGUGAAAUGAUGUGUAAACAAAAUCAUUUGCAACACAUUCAUACCUCCCAAUAAAAAUAGUUAAAAAUCUAGAUAGAGCAGAAACUUCCCUUCAUAUUUUCAAAAUAAUUCCAAAGCUGCAUAGUGAUUACUUUGUAUGUAAUUCAAGUCAGUUCUGAUAAACAACAUUAGCAGAAAUUUGCAUCUUCAUUCUUACUCCCUCAUUGUAAGUAGCCUAUAAGAAUCCAAACCUACCUCUGUAUUUGGCUGUAAGGAAGUAUGUAAUCUUUGGCCAAGUCUCCCACUUGCACUAAGAAAUACUACCGAAAGUUCAGAGAUAUCAUUGUAAUGUUUUGCAUGAAAAAUAGUAAUAAAUGUAUAAAAAUGUAAUAAAUGUAAAAUGUAAAAACUGUAAUAAAAAUGUCAAAAGUA
Long non-coding RNA from Parus major (Great Tit), 1575 nucleotides. RefSeq lists it as uncharacterized. NCBI's taxonomy places the organism in Eukaryota, Metazoa, Chordata, Aves, Passeriformes, Paridae. The transcript has 2 exons. The record is from RefSeq and is a predicted model, not a curated record.